RNAcentral lists this ribosomal RNA (253 nucleotides) under uncultured bacterium. RNAcentral's name for it is "partial 16S ribosomal RNA". It matches the Rfam family "Bacterial small subunit ribosomal RNA", at positions 524 to 776 of the family's 1533-position model. The record is from RNAcentral.
UACGGAGGGUGCGAGCGUUGUCCGGAAUCACUGGGCGUAAAGGGCGCGUAGGCGGCGCGGGUAGUCAUCGGUGAAAGUUCAGGGCUCAACUCUGAAUCGGCCGGUGAUACUCUCGUGCUUGAGCACUGUAGAGGCAGGUGGAAUUCCGGGUGUAGCGGUGGAAUGCGUAGAGAUCCGGAAGAACACCGGUGGCGAAGGCGGCAUUCUGGACUGCAACUGACACUGAAAGACGAAAGCCAGGGGAGCAAACGGG